UUGCUGUGGCUCUGGCGUAGGCCAGCAGCUACAGCUCCAAUUAGACCCUUAGCCUGGGAACCUCCGUAUGCCUCAGGGGCAGCCCUAGAAAAGACCAAAAAAAAUGAUAAAUAAAAAUAAAAUAUCCUUAUGGUUUAAGUAUUUUGAGUUGGUGCUUCCUUAGUUAUUCGCAGCCAAUAAAUAGUAAACUAAUUAUUCAACUCAUUCAACACAUAGUAAAUAGUGUUAUUAGCAAUAAUAUUCUACCACACGGGCUGAGAUUUUUGAGAUUUCUACUCAGGAAAUCAGUCAUUCAUGUUACCAGCAACUAGAACAGGCAUUUUUUUCACCAGAUGUUAACUGAGCUUCUACAGUGCACUGGCACAACAGACACAAAUUUGAAAAAGAUAUUGCCCUUGCAAAAAUAGAUAAAUUUGACCAUCUUUUUAAAAAGCUUAUUAAAAAGCAUAACUGGAGGCAAAAGUCAAAACUGAAACUCAAAUCACAGACAAGAGUUUAUCCCCCCCCAAUAUAUAAAGAGCUCUUAGAAAUGAAAAACAGGACAUUUUAUAUUUUUUUAAAAAAAUACAACUGGUUCUUAAAGCUAUCAAAAAACACUCAGUCUCACUCAUAAUAAGAGAAAUGCAAAUACAUUGAGAUAUCACUUUUCACAUCAGACUGACAAAAAAUUUGAAAGUUUUAUGACUCACAGUACUGGUGGAGCUGUGGGCCCCCUCGUGCUUUGCUGGUGGAAGUUGAAAUUGGUGCAACUCCUGAGAAGGGGAAGUUGGCAACAUUAAUCUGAUUUGUAAGUUUGACCCAGCAAUUCCACUUCUGAGAAUUUAUCAACAGAUAUAUUUAUGUAGGUAUGAAAAUUCUGUACAGAGUUAUUUUCUACAACCCUGUUUAUAAUAGCAAAGAAUGAAAACAACCCAAAUACCCAUCAGUAGUAGACUGUUUAUAUGAUGAUAAGCCACAUGAUGGAAUACUAUGCAGCCAUAAAAAAGAAUAAGACUAGUCCCUAUGGAUCGAUUUGGAAAGAUCUAAACAUACUAAGUGAAAAAGAACAGCUACAGAAGAGAAUGUGGCACAUGACACCUGUUGUGUAAAAAUGGAGGGAAAAAAUGAGAAAUAUUUAUGAAAAGAAACCUUGGAAGGAUAUAUGGGAUAAGAAAACAAUGACCCACAGGAGGCCUCAGACACAUAGAUGACAAGUGGGAGAGUACCUUCUUCAUAAUUGAAAUUUGCCAGUGGAUAACUAAGAACACCUUAUAUGUCAUAUGUCAGUUCUGGAGACUUCUCUGCCAAUAGCCCAUUGCUCUUGAGGACUUGUUUUUAGCAGUUUCCCCCAAAUGGCAAUAGUCACCCUUCCCCUGGGCCUCAUGGUGCUGGCACAAAGGCUAAGGAAGAUUUUUUUGUUUGUUUUUUCUUUUUAGGGCUGUGCCUGCAGCAUAUGGAAGUUCCCAGGCUAGGAAUCAAAUCAGAGCUGCAGCUGCUGGCCUACGCCACAGCACAGCCACACCAGAUCUGAGCCACAUCUGCAAUGCUUGGGCAAUGCUGGAUCCUUAACCCCUGAGCGAGGCCAGGGAUCAAACCCACAUCCUCACAAACAUGGUGUCAGGUUUUUAACCCGCUGAGCCACAGCAGGAACUCCAAGGCAGAUUGCUCUGAAAAUCAGGCAACCUCAUUCUUGCUCCACCCCAGGAAGCACUGGCCCUCCUGGGCCACCAUGGUCAAAAGCAGGGUCUCAUGGUCCGAGUCAGGGACCCUAUCAACUUUGGAGGCAGCUGUGCUACACCCACUCAUCUGCUAUUCCAGGUGAAGCAAAGGUCUCACUUACCAGGCACUUUUCCCGGCUUCUGGAAGCAGAGGUGGAAAGAGAGGUGCAUCCCAUUGUCUGCUUGUGAACCAAGCAGGCAAACUCACAACCAGAAGCAGGGUCCACCCACACGCCCUGGUUCCUCUCCACACCCGGGUCACAGGCUUGCUUUCCUGCCUGAGCCACAACCCCAGUCCCCUCCCAAGAGCCUCCCAAGGUCAGGGAGAAGAAGGAGCCGUGGGACCCUCAACCAGGAAGGGAGGUGGGCCUGGAGGCCCUGAAUCAGCCAGGUUCCAAGGGGGUCCCAAGAACCUCCUUUGGACCAAGGAUCUGUCCGUUCAGGGCCCAAAGCCAGCCCCUGCGCUUGUGAGGACUGAACCCUGAGGGCCUUUGUGUUGGGUAAAGUUUUUGUUUUUUGUUUUUCAGGGCUACCCCACAGCAUAUGGGAGUUCCGGGCUAGGGGUCGAAUCAGAGCCACAGCUGCUGGAUCCAAGACGUGUCUGAGAACUACAGCACGGCUCACGUCAAUGCCGGACCCUUAACCCACUGAGCGAGGCCAGGGAUCGAAUCCACGUCCUCUUGAAUGCUAGUCGGGUUCAUUAACCACUGAGCAACGAAGGGAACUCCUGUUGGGUGAGAUUUUGACUUUCAGAAUACGCAACGUGGCAUCCUUCUGUCAAUGGUGGGGACGGCUGCCAUCCCCAGACACUAUGACUCCAGAAGGUAAGAUCACAUGUACUGUCAUCAGAACUGCGUGGGGACACCGUGCGCAGGCUGGUGACCUCUGAGGAGGGACAUCUGAGCUCAGACCUGGAUGAUGAGAAAAAUCGAGGAAACCAUUCCAGGGAGAGCCUCCGGGCAAGCCAAGCUCUCGAGCUGGAGGGAAAGAAAGGCCAGCAUGGCUAGAGGACAAAGGCCAAGGCCAGGGCAGGUCUGGUUGGACCCUUUUGGCCUUGGCUUUGGGAUUUAGUGGAGUUUGGAUUUUAUUCUAAAUCCAGUGCAAAGACAGCAGAGGGUUUUCAGCAGGAGGGGCACGAUCUGGUUUAUAUUUUUAAAACUCCCCCCGGGCUGCUAGGGGGAGAAUGGUUUAGAGGGUGGAGAGUGGAGGCAGGGCUUCUGGACAAAAACAGCUGGUCGUGGGAUUUCUCAUGAACUUGAAGACAUUUCCUAUUUAUAACCUCCACGCGCUUUCCUGCCCAAAGCUCAAGCCACAUCAUGAUGUAUUUUACACAAUGACACCUGGGUAAACGCCACCCAGAUCAGGCUGGACCCUCCGAGUCCUUCCCAGCCUCUUCCCACCUUCCACACGCUCAUUUCUGUCACCCAGAGUUUGGCCUGAGCUACAAGUUCCUAAACACAGAUCCAUGCGGCGUACAGCCCGACUUCUUUCAUCCAGUGCUUUUAAGAUGCUUCUAGGAGGUUGCCUGGAUCUGAGGUUCAUUCUGGGUAAAGGAGAACUGGAGUCGAGAGCCCUAGUCCAUCCCCAGUGAAGAUGCCAGCUCUGCGCUGGCGAAACUGUGCUCUCAAGUGACCACCAGAGGGCAGUGCGACCCCACCUCUGGCCCCAGCCACCCGCGGGUGCCCCCUGAAGUCAGGCCUGGAAACAACGCUGUAAGGAUUCCAGAAGCAUCUCCCUGAGGCUGUGCCCUUGCCUCAAGGACGGCCUCCCUGGAAUGGCAGCCCCAGCCAUGUACUCAGGCCCACGAGUUAAUUGACCUGCUGCGGCCACGAUGGGGAUGCCAGCAGAGAGCAGCACAGUGGCCUCAAGAGCAAUCGGCAGCCACCGGGCUGGAAGGCGCUUCUUCCCGCACUCAGGCCAACCUUAAGCUACCCGCUCUGAGGCUUAAUAACACCAUGGUAACAAUAGUUUAAAUUGUUUAAAAUCAAUGUUGGAAUUUCUUUUUAUAUCCAGAAGUUCAUUUGAGGAUGGUGGAUAAGCCAGCUGCAGCCAAAUACUGAUUUUAAAAUUCAACCAUUACGUAUUUAGCCAAAAAUGGGUAUUUGGUGACCUCUGGCUGCAGGUGAUGGGGUGUCUCUUGGCACUUGCUGCCCCCACCCCAUCCACUGCAUCAGAAACACAAAAGCCCUGCCCUCCUCUCGGCCCCUGGAUCCCACGGGCCACCCAGUAUGGUUGACGGGGGCGCUGCACACACAGGCCCAGCCUCUAACAUUUAUUAAGCACCAACUGUGUCCCAGGCACCAGGCUAAGCCCUUGACCUGCAUUAGGUGCUUCCAUCCUCACAGCCACACCUGGAGAAGAGCCACUGCGCGACGGUGAGACCUUGGGUCAGAUCGCAGCUCUUCCUUUUACUGUCUGUAGGAACUUCGCCUCCUAAACCUCAACUUCCUCAGCUGUCAAAUGGGGUAGUAAGAGAAUCCACCUCACAGAUUUGUUGCCGGCACUGAAUGCAUUCAGAUACGGACAGCACUUGUCUGAAAGCCACUUUUUUGGUCAUUCAAGAAAUGCAUGUUGGAGUUCCCGUCGUGGUACAGUGGUUAAUGAAUCCGACUAGGAAUCAUGAGGUUGUAGGUUCGAUCCCUGCCCUUGCUCAGUGGGUUCAGGAUCCGGUGUUGCCGUGAGCUGUGGUGUAGGUUGCAGACGCGGCUUGGAUUCCGCGUUGCUGUGGCUCUGGCGUAGGCCAGUGGCUACAGCUCCGAUUCGACCCCUUGCCUGGGAACCUCCAUAUGCCGGGGGAGCGGCCCAAGAAAUGG
RNAcentral lists this long non-coding RNA (4510 nucleotides) under Sus scrofa (pig). RNAcentral's name for it is "lncRNA (ENSSSCG00000053038.1)". The record is from RNAcentral. Lineage: Eukaryota; Metazoa; Chordata; Mammalia; Artiodactyla; Suidae.